UUUUAUGGAGAGUUUGAUCCUGGCUCAGGACGAACGCUGGCGGCGUGCCUAAUACAUGCAAGUCGAGCGGACUGAUGGGAGCUUGCUCCCUGAUGUUAGCGGCGGACGGGUGAGUAACACGUGGGCAACCUGCCUGUAAGACUGGGAUAACUCCGGGAAACCGGGGCUAAUACCGGAUAACCCGUU
Molecule: ribosomal RNA, 186 nt
Filed under: Alkalihalophilus pseudofirmus
Lineage: Bacteria; Bacillati; Bacillota; Bacilli; Caryophanales; Bacillaceae
Description: Bacillus pseudofirmus partial 16S ribosomal RNA
Rfam family: Bacterial small subunit ribosomal RNA
Source: RNAcentral